GACGUAGGGGGCCAGCGUUGUUCGGAAUUACUGGGUGUAAAGGGUUCGUAGGCGGUGUGGCAAGUCGGGAGUGAAAUCUCUGGGCUCAACCCAGAGUCUGCUUCCGAAACUGCUGUGCUUGAGUGUGGGAGAGGCGCGUGGAAUUGCAGGUGUAGCGGUGAAAUACGUAGAUAUCUGGAGGAAUACCGGUGGCGAAGGCGGCUACCUGGCCCAACAUUGACACUGAGACCCGAAAGCGUGGGGAUCAAACAGG
This 253-nucleotide ribosomal RNA is filed under the name uncultured bacterium. Its description in RNAcentral is "partial 16S ribosomal RNA". It matches the Rfam family "Bacterial small subunit ribosomal RNA", at positions 524 to 776 of the family's 1533-position model. The record is from RNAcentral.